Molecule: transfer RNA, 88 nt
Filed under: Desulfobacteraceae bacterium
Lineage: Bacteria; Pseudomonadati; Thermodesulfobacteriota; Desulfobacteria; Desulfobacterales; Desulfobacteraceae
Description: tRNA-Leu
Rfam family: tRNA
About the family: Transfer RNA (tRNA) molecules are approximately 80 nucleotides in length.
Source: RNAcentral
GCCUGGGUGGCGGAACCUGGUAGACGCAAGGGACUUAAAAUCCCUCGGCCGAACGGCCGUGCCGGUUCGAUCCCGGCCCCAGGCACCA